GACGAACGCUGGCGGCGUGCCUAAUACAUGCAAGUAGAACGCACAGUUUAUACCGUAGCUUGCUACACCAUAGACUGUGAGUUGCGAACGGGUGAGUAACGCGUAGGUAACCUGCCUGGUAGCGGGGGAUAACUAUUGGAAACGAUAGCUAAUACCGCAUAAUAUUAAUUAUUGCAUGAUAAUUAAUUGAAAGGUGCAAUUGCACCACUACCAGAUGGACCUGCGUUGUAUUAGCUAGUAGGUGAGGUAACGGCUCACCUAGGCGACGAUACAUAGCCGAGCUGAGAGGGUGAUCGGCCACACUGGGACUGAGACACGGCCCAGACUCCUACGGGAGGCAGCAGUAGGGAAUCUUCGGCAAUGGACGAAAGUCUGACCGAGCAACGCCGCGUGAGUGAAGAAGGUUGUCGGAUCGGAAAGCUCUGUUGUAAGAGAAGAACGGGUGUGAGAGUGGAAAGUUCACACUGUGACGGUAGCUUACCAGAAAGAGACGGCUAACUACGUG
Molecule: ribosomal RNA, 505 nt
Filed under: uncultured bacterium
Lineage: Bacteria
Description: partial 16S ribosomal RNA
Rfam family: Bacterial small subunit ribosomal RNA
Source: RNAcentral